AAUCGCUUGCAGAUACGCGAAUGCUUACCGUCUAUCCAUUGAAAGGGAGUAUGAAUACUGUUGGAACGGCUUUGUGGUUUUGAUUUGGAUUAUAACACAAAUAUUAUCCCUAUCUUAUUUAAGUGUACAAGUGCAGCUUCUAAUACAAAUUCUAACAAGCAGAGUUACUAAUACAUUCCUAUGACUCUCAUUAGGGGUGUUCAUCGUUUGUUAAAACCCAUCCAAAUUGAAAACUGAACCAAAUCAAUUAAAUUAUGGGAAAA
RNAcentral lists this long non-coding RNA (263 nucleotides) under Solanum tuberosum (potato). Its description in RNAcentral is "long non-coding RNA (STUB_LNC010828)". Lineage: Eukaryota; Viridiplantae; Streptophyta; Magnoliopsida; Solanales; Solanaceae. The record is from RNAcentral.